Microtus ochrogaster (prairie vole) is the source of this 117-nucleotide small nucleolar RNA. The record is from Ensembl. NCBI's taxonomy places the organism in Eukaryota, Metazoa, Chordata, Mammalia, Rodentia, Cricetidae.
CUGUAGAUUUUAAAAGUUCUUAGAUUGGUCUCCAACUGCAUGCCAGAGUAACUGGAGAGACUUUGACAGCCCAGGCCAGCACAGUGCCUGCAGCUGCCACUUGACUUUCCUAUACAU